RNA transcript from Parus major (Great Tit), 7328 nucleotides. RefSeq lists it as uncharacterized. Lineage: Eukaryota; Metazoa; Chordata; Aves; Passeriformes; Paridae. The transcript has 5 exons. The record is from RefSeq and is a predicted model, not a curated record.
UCCUGCACAGAUUUGCUCUUCUUCAUUUGUCCUGUUCUUCAAAUAGCACACCCUGAAUAAUACAUUCCAUCUUUGAUCACUCUGACAAAUCAAAGAGUGAAAACAAGGCCACACAUCUUGUAAAUCAAAGCAUAUUUGAAGUGCACUAUUGCCCACAGUACUUGUGCUGACACUGGCCAGAGGUGUUGGCCAAAAUCAGCUGUGCUGAUUUUGUGAUUAAUAUUCUCUAUAUGUAGCUGGACUGGUUUGUCCAAUUAUUUCAAUUUUCAGCAAGGUCUCUGAGCAAUUAACCCUCUAAAGUUACAUUUGUUGCAGUUUCUCACUAUUUUUUUGAAUACUACAAGUGAGCAUUUUAAAUUAAGUUGUUCUGCAGGUACAAGAAAUAACCUCAACUAAUAAACAAGUAUAUUGCAUUUAAAACAAGAAAAAAUAAGCUUUAGCACUAUGUUUGUUGUGAUAAAAUCCAUAGUUAAAAACAUUGAAGCAAGUCACUAAACAUAAAUAGGUGCAUUACUUACUGCCUCUCAGACAAAACCCAGGCAUUGCUGCAGUGUAGGCAGGAGUACCUAGUUAGCUUAUGACAUUCCUGUAGGGAAUUGCUUUUCAUUCAUGAAAUGUCCAUCCCAGGCACAAAAGUUCCUUCUCAAGGCUUUGUCAUGAUUGCUAAUAAAUAUAUCAUACACUGUGUUGUGUUUAUCAGGCCAUGCUAAUCUCAUUUUGUCUGCACAACAAGGAUUUUAACAGGCUCUUUCAGAGAACACUGAUUUCAAUGCACUUAGCAAUUUACUGGAAAAGACAUUUACAGAUAAAGAAGUGCAUGCUGUAUUCUUUGUACAAAAAUAAAACUCUUUCUCCAAAACCCUGCACAUGCAAAUAUUCCAUGGGGGUGCAUGUGAAGUGCUGGUUUAUUUGUUGUCCUUCUAGGACUCACAUAAAAACACAAUUAAUGAUAAAGCUAUUCAAUUAAAACCCCUCCAUAAAACUGCAAUGUAGAAACAUCAGCAGCUAUGCUGCAACUGCAGGACAUGCUUCAGUGUUUUCCCAGUUGCUUUUAUCCAAAUCUGGAAUGGAAUUUUACCUGGCCUUUAAUAUCUGUUGCAGUUACAGCAGCAGCUUUGCAUAGUGCUCACCAAUUGGCGAUGGAGGGACUUCAUGGGUAGGUGAAACAAGAGAAACAGGGAUAGAAGUUGCAGAAAGAACGUCAUUUAAACUCAGUACUUUGAUUACUUACAUAUGAGUGGUAGUUCUUUUUUAGUAUGUGGAUUCUGAUGCAGAAAUGUGGAAACAUUGAGGUAUGAGAUAGGACAUUACACAGAGGAAAAGCGGGUUUUGAAACAGAAGAAGAAAAGGAGGAGAAGAAGACUUUCUAAAUCAAAAUGACCAUCACCAGAAACAAGGAGAGUUCACUUGGCUUGUUGUUCCCUGGGGAUCUUCCUUCCGCUUUCUGAUGUACAUGUUUGAGGAGGUUCACAUGUCAGGACAGUGAAAAUGUGGAGGCAGCAAAGCUUUUUGUAUUAGUUUUCCUUUAGGCCGACGACAUUGAUAGGAAUGGAAAUAUUUUUAAUGGUACCUCAUUAUUUUUGGAGGUAGCUAAGCCUGACAUUUUCCAUCGAAACACUCUAUACAGUUUUCCAGUUUCCUCUCUCUACCACAUUUCUACUAAGUAGAGAGAAAAUCAGAUGAAAAGUUAAUUUUUACUGGAAAGCUUUAUGCUCUUUUCCAAGAUCAGUUUCCUCAUGUGGUACCAAUAUCUGUUUGGGGUAGAUUAUCAGUUACUGCUCAGAUGGAAGAACCCAGAGGUUCAGAAUCCUUGCAAGCAGAAUAUGGUGGUAUAUAAUUAAGCUGCAAAUAAUUAAUUAAUUGAUUUUAAUUUCAGUGGUAUCUCUGGCCAUAAUUCCAUGGAAAUGUUCAGGCUUCAGGAGCUGUACAGUAAAGUUUCCACAUAACAAAACACUCUACAGAUUUUUAAAGAAAAAAUGGCAAAUAAAAAAACUGUUAAAAUUACUCAGGAGGAGAGAGGUACAUUAAAUGUACCUGAAAAAUGGUACAUGAAUAUGAGGGUAAAUGCUGUUCUUGGAGAAGGAGCAGUAUACAUUAGAGCUGUUUUGCUCAGAAUAAUCAUCAAUUACUGUAUUUAUUGGACAUUUUGCAGUGGCUGUCACUCCUCUGCUGUAUCUAUCAUGUUAAGCUGGGGCAGUGUAGAUGAAAUUCUAUUUUCCAAAACAAGAUUUCCCCCCAGAAUCCUGUAUCUUCACUUAGAGCACAUGGGUUACAUCUCUCCCUACUGAGUCCCAUGGCAAAUGUGCCAUUAACUUCAAGAUGUUAAUCACAGCCAUACAGUCUGAUUUGUAAAUGUUUUUUCCAGUCCUGAGAAGGCAGUUAAAUGCAGGAUAUUUUUACAUAGUUAGCUAAGAUGCAGUCUAAGAACUUAUAAAUAAAGCUCUGUGUGUGGUAUUAUUGUAAAUAAGGAAAUCAGUCCAAGAAGAUUUCCUUUGAGGCUUCAAAGCCUCUGAUAAUUUUUCAGUUAAUUUUCUUAAGAAAGUUGUAGAAAUCUCUGCAUGGGAUUCAAUUAAGAUCAAAGCAAAAAUACAAAAGUAACUGUCUCUUGUAUUUCUAGUUCAGCAGAAGGGGGACAAUUACGUCCCUUACAAGAGCCUAUUUUUGUGAAAUUAGAAUUUAAUUUUCCCUGUAAGGUGGGUCUAGAAUCACUUGCAGAAUAGCAUCCAUCUCACAAAUACUCAUCCAAAUAAGACUUCUAAAUAUUUUGGGAGAAGCUUUCACUUACCACACACAGAGAAUACAUCAUAAUAGCACUGGAAAGUAUUUACAUUUUUCACAUCUUAAAUAUAACAUAGUGUCUGCUUUAAAAUUAGAUUUUCAGUAGCCUUCAGCUCUGGUGUGUCCUAGAUUAGUUCUUGAAUAGCUGUAAAAACAACACAUUGUUAGUAAGGAUUUAAAAUAAGGAAUAUCUGUAAUGGUUUGCAAAAUGUCAAAAAAGCACCCAGGAGGAAUGAACUCUGCUUACCAUCUGCAUUAGAUUUGCAAAGCUCUUCAAAAAUUCUUUGGGGGUUUUCUUCUCAUAAGAUUCACAUGUGUACUCACACUGCUGGAAGAUAAAGAGAGUCAUGCUACUUCUGAAGAGCACAUCACAAUCCUAAAUCAAACCUCAAACUUUCUCACUGAAAAAUCAAGAGGGUUGUAAUCAAUGCCUUUUCUGGCUGCAAAAGCUUUGACACAAGCUUUUUCAAAAGUGAAGGAAUUUAGUAAUGACACCUUUCAUUCACAUUUUUGCAGUGAUCCCUGUCCUUCUGCCAGCACAUUGUGUGGUUGCCAAGUACACAUGUGACUUUUUAGGGUCACAGGGAAUGAUUCUUCCAAAACUGCAAAAAUUGGACUUUUUAAUUUCUGAAUGAUAGGCAGAUUGAUUUUUCAAACAGAUUUGCUUUCUACAGUUCCCCAUUGCAGGGGAACUGUAGAAAAUAAGGAGGAAUGAUGACAAUUAUGCAGCAGGGGAAUCUGCUAUAGAAAAUAAGGAGGAAUGAUGACAAUUAUGAGCAAUGUGAGGAAAUCCUACCUCUCCAGCGUCUCUGCACGUCAAUUUGCUCACAAUUCUAAUGGCUUUGGUGAACUUUGCGUUGUCUUGGCUGCUCGCUGGUUGUAGUUUCUGGAUGCCCUUCUUGAAGCAGGUCACAGCUGUGUACAGACAUGCCUCCUAGAGCAGAAGAAGGAAGUGUUUUAAAGCCAAUGUUGCAGCACUUUUCCCUGCACGUGUUAGAUAGUGGUCCAUGUGCAGAAGAAGGUAUCCAGGAUAUUAACUGAAAAUAUUCAACUGUAUCUUUUUUUUUUUUAAGUUAGUUUUAGAUAUGCAGGUGAUAUUGAGGCUUUACUUUGGCUGUUCUUGCAUAAUUGCUUGAAUUCCACUUGGUAUUAAUCAUGACAGCAUUUGAAAGAAAAUAAUCCUGAAGAUCAGAUCAGUAGGUUUUCACCUGCUAAAGCACAAACAUUUUAUUUUUACAAAAUUAUAAGUAUCUCUCAGUGCUAUGUAUGGGAAUAUACUUUUUGUCUUCCUAAUUUUUGUCCUCUUUCUAAUAAUGCCUAGUUAAUAAUUAGAAUUGACAUAGGACUGUGUAUUUUCAAAUGCUAUUGGAAUGUUCUUAUAUGAUAGCAUCAGAAAUGAUACAGAAACUAUCCCUGUAAGUAAUCUAACCAUCAACAGAGAAAGAAAAGCAAUGUUUACUGAAGCCAAUUUAAGUUGCUUUCUGUUUUCCAAAGAUGGAAGCUGCUGAUUACACAUUUCAGAAAGGCUCCAAAGCCAUCAUGCCUGUUUUGUAUACCAAGAUGAGUCUCGUCUGCCUCCUGAGAUGUCACUGCAGUUUGCUGCUUGGGCAAGGACAAGGCAAGCCUUCAUCAAUGUUGCUUAUAGCAAAUUUUGCUAGCAACAUUCUAUGUUGGUCAGAUAAAACAUUUUAUUUUCCUUAAAAGUCACACAUUUAUGCUUGUUUCAAGCAUCCUUACCGUAAUGGGCCUUGCUUACUGGAAAAAAAAAACACUACUCGUCUUUUAAAGAGAUCGAUUUUCCAGCUGAAACUGAAAACAUUGUCGGUCUCAUCCGUGCUGAGCUGAGAAACCAGCAUUUCUCAUCUGUGCUGCUUCUUCUGUUUUGCUGAGCUGUCACUUAGAGCUGAGGCAGCCAACUCUCAGGGCACCGCAAGGGUUGUGGGGCCCAGCGUGUUGUCACGGGCUGAGCCCUUUGGGGAUGAGCCAUGAAGGAGCACAGACCACUGGAGGUGUCUGAGGGGGGCUAGAAACGUGUGAAAUAUUUGUAUCAGAGGCAGUUGGCAGCAGUACUCUGCAUCUGACUCAAAGUGGCUUUACAGAUGAGCCCGUAGAGCCCUCGCUUCCGGCAUUAGUGAUCGGCGGGGUGAGAUACAGAUCCGGGGCACAUCAGCAUCGUGACACUCAGUGACACUUCAGCUGCCAGUGCCAGCCACCAGCAAGAGAGCUCACUUGCCCUCCAGGGAUCACCUCGGUCUUAGCACUGCUUUUUCAGUCUCAGCCUGUUUCCCCUUGGAUUGAUGUCCUCUAACCUCCCCUCAUUCAAAGGAAAGGAUACUUCAUUGUUGAGGGUACAAGGAAAUUGUGUGGGAUUGAAUUAGGGCUAAUAGUCCACACAACGGAACCCCAAGGAAGCCAAAACAGAUAGGGAUAAACCACCUAAAUCUAAAUGGUAUAAUAGGUUAUUUUCUCAUUGAAUAUUCAAGACCAAAUGCAAAUCUGGCAUGAGCAGGCUAUAAUAAAAACAAUUUCAAGUAUUUUGGUGUUUGAAAUGCAGUUAUGUGAGCGACUUCUUAUUAAAUUGAGUUUCACUAGGCUGUGAUGGCACCUAAUCACCCUGAGUGCCGCUUUGGCACACUGUGAUACGUAUUUGAGUCACCCUGUAGGAUGAAAAGCUUGUUGAUUUGGUUGCUGGUGAUUAUUAUUAUUAGAACACUAACAGCUUUUUUACAUGUUUUCAUCAGAAGCUGAACUUGUAUCAACUUAAUACCUUCUAAAUAUGAGAAUUCUCUUUCUUCUCUGGUAUUCAGAGGAGGCACUUAGGACCUCCCAGUGUCAGACAGUAAAGCCCUAAGCUGCAAGUGAACUGUUGUUUUCCUUCCUGAGGUGAGCAUGACUUUUUUUAAGAAAAAAACCCCAACAACCUCAUUAAGCAAUUAGUCACUAGUUGUAUUUGCUUAGUUUCAGAGGCAGCAGGAAACACUGGAGUAAAAUGACAGCUAAUGAUCUCCUCCUUUUCACUCUGACACCACAAGUUAGAAAGAAUUUCAGAGGAAAAAGCCCGGCAAUGAGUUUGUGCACUGCAGCUGAUUCUCAAAACUCAAAGGAACGUAACUGGUUUGCUCAUGCUUCUGUAUAUUUUUUGGCAAGUGAAACAUGUGCCCAGCUAUAAAGCCUAGGAGGAGACUAACCAAAACCUGUGUGAAAUUAGUCAGCAUCCGCAGUCAGCACCAUAGUGGAGCAGAAGAAAAACAUGCAGAAAAUAAUUGUCCUGUUCAUCCUGAUGGGUUCUAUUUAAAAAUGUACCAGGAGCAAAGUUGUGCUGUUCAAGUGUAACACUCCAGUUUGAGCUGUGCUCAGUAGCAGAUAUAUUAACAACAUUGGAGGACAUGUCCACUGGGAGUGGUGCAGGGAGAUACACUGUCCUGGGAGAGAUUAAUCCCUGAACACACCCAUUACCAAGAGGGAGCAGUACUGGAAGAGCAGGGACUGAAUCCUGGUUGGGAAUUUUCCACUUGGAUGUGUAAAAGGACUCUUAUUAGCUGUGACAUCUUGUGGUGAUUGGCAGUGUUUCAUGGAAAGAGAUCACUGAAGGUUUUUGCUGCUCCAGACAACUUCAGAACCACUUAAAAACUUCAGUUAAUGCCCAAGGGACAGUGUCACAUCUCAUGGUUCUGGGGCACCUCUGGCACAGCAAGAAGUAGUGAGGACAGAGGAGCAGUGUGACACUGCACCGGAGGAUGCCGUCUGCCUCCCUUUGGAGUGGCUCCAAGGCCUUGCUUGCACACCAACUCCUCAGCUUGUCCUGAGCACUGCCACUGUGUGUUCUCAGACCAGUGGAUCAGCCACCAGAUGUGCUGUACUUCAGCUCCUGCAGCAGAGGAGAGAGGGGCUUUGGCAUCACACUGCAUAGCUGAAGGGAAGGCUGAGGCAGAAGCCACCUCUGCAGUUCUCAGGGUGUAGGAAUGCAGGUGCUCUCUUCAGCGGCAAAGCCAUUUAAAGAAAUUUCUACCUCAGGUCGCUGCUACUCUGUGUCACAGUAUGUCACUAUCUGAAGAGCCUCAGUUACAGGGCCUUGGGUCAUUAUGGUGAAAUCCCUGCUGCAAAGGCCUUAAGAGCUUGUUUGUUCAGCUUUGUUUUGGUUGCAAUCAUUUCACUGUCAACCCUGUUUUCUCCUUAGCAUACCUGACAAAUUUGCAAAUAGAAAUGAGUUGCCAGAAUUCCAAAACUCCCCUUCUGCUGGCUUUACUGUAGAACACAGCUGUGAUCUCCUAUGUAACAAGUGCCUCCUUGGCAUACCAGGCUGAGGGGUCCAGUGGCUCUCACUCAGCAGCAUCAUUCCAGGAGCAGCAAUUUGGUGCCAGUGCAGACAGUAUUUCAAGAUUCUGGCAAUGAUUCCAUCAUUUUAUGGAAGAAUGUUUAGGAGAAUCUUAACUUAACCCUAACCCUAACCCUUGUCUACAUUUAAGACUCUUGAAGGUAUGAUGGUAUUAUUCAUGAUUUGUUGUUACUUUGCCGGCAGUUAUAUUAAUAAAAGCCUUGAUGGAGAAGCA